CCUUUACUCAGUGCCCCCACCGCAUCUUCUAAAAGAAGCUACCAUAGGUGGUACCCUGGCUGUGUUUUGUGUGGUGGAAAGAAUGAGCCAAGUUAGAUAUUUUUGUUCUUCCAGGAGACUGGGAAGUAGCAGGAGAAUGAGUUGGUGGUGGGAAUUUUGUCAGAGGAAACUGUCAGGGCGAACACGUGCCCUUCCUCUUUGUGGACCAGCAGCACAUGGACAGGGCAAGACCCCAUCAGGAUCCACCUUCAGGAAUGGAGUGAGAUCCCCGACACCAUGCAUUGAACACAGAGUCUUCCUUAAAACAGCUUCCUGUUAUCUGAAGAACUUCAGUCAGACACCUCUGUGCCCCCAAAGAGUUCCUCUUCAGUACUACUCACCAUGUUGUUUACAGAUCAAGUCUUAGCAUCAUGCAUCCAAGUCAGAGAAGCCUGGUGCUGCCAAGAACAAAGCACCACCCCCAAAGCCUGUUCAACUUUCCCAGAUGACUGAAAACAACAUUUACAGGAUUUGUUGAAGUCAUCUAUUAAGCUCUGCUCUUCAGUCUCCUGCAUAGCCCAGGUAGACACUCAGUGUUAAUGAAAUGUGAUUUCAGAUUUUAUGGCCUGGCCAGGAAGUUAACAGGGUUUCCGGGCCGAUGGUCAGUCAACACUGCUGCAUGCACGUAUUUAGGUCUCAAGUUCUCCUGUCAACAAGAACAGCCUCCUGGGCGCAAGGUGGCAGUUGUGAAAGCUGCUCUGAGAGGACAGAGGCCUGGAUUCACAGACACCUGUUCCUGAGUGAGUCUUAAAAGCAAACCAUAAAGUACCCCUAGGGAGAAUUUUGGAGUAUUCAAGCUGCCUAAAAUGGAAGGAUUUACCUCCAGCCCCUGAAAGGCAGUGAGUGUGUGUUCACAUUAAGGGGUUCAGGCCCAGGUGAUUGCUCUAGACCUACACCAGCUUUGCAGACUUCCUCAUGUGCAGGCAGCCUUGAGCCAGGAGCACCAAACUGACUUGAGUUCAACACCAACAGGCUUGUGGCAGACGGCAUCUCCACCCCAUGGCCUUUUGUGUUCAUUUGAAUAUAUCUUUUUCUAGCGGAAGAUUUGUUUUCACAUGAGUUACAACAGCAUUAUGGUAUCUUUUUCCUAAUACAUGCUAUUAGAUUUGUGCAAUUCAUGCAGACCUGGAACCUAGAUCCCAGACCUGCAAGAGUGAAUAAGAUAAGGCAAGUUGGUGGUGUUCAAGCUUAUAAAGUUUUUAUCUUUUUUCUGUUCCUUUGUUGAGAUAUAAUUGACACAUAACUUUCUAAGUUGACAGUGUAUAAUGCAGUGUUUUGAUACAAAUAUUAAUGUUGCAAAAUGAUUACCACAAUAAGGUUCGUUAACAAACCCACCACUUCGAUAACUAUGUGUAGUGAGAAUAUUUAAGAUUUACUCUCACAGCAGCUUUCAAGUAUACAAUUCAGUACCGUUCCAUAGAGUCACCAUUCUGAAUAUUAGGGCCCAGAAUGCCCUGUAACUAGAGGUUUGCUUCCUUUGGCCAGUGUCUCCCCUAUUUUCCCCCUAGUCCCUCCCUCUUGCCUUAUCCCCAAAUCCUUGGAGACCACCCUUCUGUGCUAUUUCUGUGAGUUUGGCUUUAUUUAGAUUCUGCCUAUAUGUGGAAUCAGAGCGGUUUUUGUCUUUUUCUGUCUGACUGACUUCAGUUAGCAUCAUGCCCUGGGGGGUCCAUCCAUGUUGUAAACAUUAGAAUGGCUUCCUUGCUCCUAGCUGAGUAAUGCUCGUGUGUGUGUGUGUGUGUGUGUGUGUGUGUGUGACAUUUUUUGGCUGUUGUGAAUAAUGCUGCAAUGAACACAGUGGCACAGAUUUUCCUUGAAUAGAUGCCCAGAGGUAGGUUUACUGGAUCUGUUAUAUGGUAGUUCUGUUUUUAAUUGAUUGAACAGUCAUCUCCAUUACCGUUUUAAUGGCUGUACCAAUUUACAUGAGGGUUUCCUUUUCUCUAUAUCUUCACCAACCUGUAUGUGUUCUUUGAAAAAAAUAUUUAGGUUCUAUACUCAUUUUUAAAUCGAAUUAUUUUUUGCUAAUAUUUUGUACGAGUUUCUUGACUAUUUUGGAUUUUGACUUCUUAACCUGAUGUGUGAAUUGCAAAUAUCUUCUUUCAUUCAUGGGUUGCCUCUUCGUUUUAUUGUUUUUGUCUUUUUCCCCCCCUUUUGCUGUGCACAUGGCUUUUUANNNNNNNUUUCCCCCCCUUUUGCUGUGCACAUGGCUUUUUAGUUUGAAGUAGCCCCACUUGCUUAUUUUAAAUGUUGUUGCUUGUGUUUUUGGUGUACAUCGAAAAUGCCAAGAUCGUUGUGAAGGAAAUUUUACCCAAUAUUUUCUUCUAGGAGUUUAUAAUUUGAGGUCUUGCAUUUAAGUCUUUAAUCCAUUUUGAGUUAAUUUUUGUGAGUGGUGUAAGAUAGGGGUCCAGCUUAUUAUUUUGUUUGUGAUUAUCCAAUUUUAACACCAAUUAUGGAGAAGACUACUAAAGCCUUUUGCCCAUUGUGUAUUCUUAAGUCCCUUGUCAUGUACUCGUUAGCUGUAUAGAUUUAUUUCUGGACUCUCAAUUCUGUGCCAUUGGCUCUGUUUUUAUGCUGGUACCAUGCUAUGUUGAUUACUCAUCUGUGAGGUAUAGUUUGAAAUCAGAGAGCAUGAUACUUCUAGCUUUGUUAUUUUUUUCUCAAGGUUAUUUUUCUUAUUCAUGGUCUUUUGUAUUUCCAUACAAAUUUUAAUAUUGUUUUUUCGAUUUCUGUGAAAAAUGUCACUGAAAUUUUGAUAGGGAUUAUGUUGAUUCUGUAGAUGACCUUGGGUAGUAUGGAUUUUUUGACAGUGUUCUGAUCUACAAACACAGGCUAUCUUUCCAUUUAUCUGUGUUCUUUUCAAUUUCUUUGAUCAUAAUUUACAAUGUAGAGAUCUUUCACCUCCUUGGUUAAAUUUAUUUCUAAGUAUUUUAUACUCUACAAUCAAGCACAUUAAUAUUUCUGGGACAAAACAAAUGUUCAUGCUAAGUGUAGUAAGUGACGACUAUACUUCUGCACCUCAGUUCAGGGUAAUUUUGUCCCAGAUGCAUCAUGAAAAAAUGUCUGGUAGUCUUUGAAUGUUCCAUCUUAGAAAUGGAAAUGAAGGAUUUGUGGACCUGUACUCCUGUAUCAUUGUGGACAGUGACUGCAACCAUGAAAUGAAAAGACACUUG
This 3206-nucleotide long non-coding RNA is filed under the name Capra hircus (goat). RNAcentral's name for it is "lncRNA (ENSCHIG00010007910.1)". Lineage: Eukaryota; Metazoa; Chordata; Mammalia; Artiodactyla; Bovidae. The record is from RNAcentral.